UACGUAGGGGGCAAGCGUUGUCCUGAAUCAUUGGGCGUAAAGAGCGUGUAGGCGGUUCAGUAAGUCUGCUGUGAAAGUCCAGGGCUCAACCCUGGGAUGCCGGUGGAUACUGCUGGGCUAGAGUACGGAAGAGGCGAGUGGAAUUCCCGGUGUAGCGGUGAAAUGCGCAGAUAUCAGGAGGAACACCGGUGGCGAAGGCGGUUCUCUGGGCCUGUACUGACGCUGAGGAACGAAAGCGUGGGGAGCGAACAGG
RNAcentral lists this ribosomal RNA (253 nucleotides) under uncultured bacterium. Its description in RNAcentral is "partial 16S ribosomal RNA". It matches the Rfam family "Bacterial small subunit ribosomal RNA", at positions 524 to 776 of the family's 1533-position model. The record is from RNAcentral.